AUGCCCACACCCGGGACACCCCCUCGCUCGCCCACCGCCUCCUGGCGCUGUGCAACCUCGCUGCCGCUGCCGCUGCCGGGGACCCUGAAUCUGGAUCGUGGCUGCGAUUGCCUCCUCCGGCUCCGGCUACUCCUCCGGCAGCAAGCAGGGGACGCGCCAGGCGCUCCCCGAGCCGUUCCCUGUCACCCCCGAAGUGCUCUCCUCCACCGCCAGCCACCUACCCACAAGUCCCACCUGGGAGGAGGAGGAGGCGGCGGCGGAAGCAGCCCGGUGGGAGGACGUGGAUACCCGGCGGCGCGGCCAGGCGGGGUCCCGGGUGCAGGAGCAGAGUGGAUGAGGAAGUAGAAGCAGGACUGGCUCUAUAAUUUGCAUAGUACACCAACAUGUUGUCCUCCUUGCUCAGGAAUCAUCAGGCAUUUCAAGAUGGUGAGUGGGGAGGAUUUAAUCAUUACAGGAUGUUCAGGGCCCUAAGUGCACACCCUUGAUGCCAAUUCCAAGGGGGUUGGAUUGUUUGCCCAAGGUGACAAAACUGGUUAGGAGCGGAUAGCCUUGUCUCUCUCCCUCCCCCUGUUCCCCUCCCUCCNNNNNNNNNNNNNNNNNNNNNNNNNNNNNNCCUUCCCUCUCUCCCCCCCCUCUCUCGCUGUCUCUCUCCCUCUCUCUCUCCCUC
Molecule: long non-coding RNA, 667 nt
Filed under: Fukomys damarensis (Damara mole-rat)
Lineage: Eukaryota; Metazoa; Chordata; Mammalia; Rodentia; Bathyergidae
Description: lncRNA (ENSFDAG00000026924.1)
Source: RNAcentral